ACGGAUGGCUGGGUGAUCGCGGGGGCAACCUCGAGGAAAGUCCGGACUCCACAAGGCAAGGGUGCCGGGUAAUGCCCGGCCGGGGCAACCCGAGGGAAAGCGCCACAGAGAAGAAACCGCCCUCGUGCAUCGCGCUGCGAUACGCUGGGGUAAGGCUGAAAAGGUGGGGUAAGAGCCCACCGCGGGUCUGGCAACAGAACCGGCACGGCAAGCCCCACCCGGAGCAAUGCCAAAUAGGAACCUCACGCGGGGGCGACCCCGCAGGGCGGCUUUGGCCCUGAAGGUUCGGGUUGGCAGCUAGAGCCUGUUGGCAACGACAGGCCCAGAGGAAUGAUCAUCCAAGGGGGCAACCCCGGGACAGAAUCCGGCUUACAGGCCAUCCGUGCAU
Molecule: RNase P RNA, 388 nt
Filed under: Actibacterium atlanticum
Lineage: Bacteria; Pseudomonadati; Pseudomonadota; Alphaproteobacteria; Rhodobacterales; Roseobacteraceae
Description: Bacterial RNase P class A
Rfam family: Bacterial RNase P class A
About the family: Ribonuclease P (RNase P) is a ubiquitous endoribonuclease, found in archaea, bacteria and eukarya as well as chloroplasts and mitochondria.
Source: Rfam by way of RNAcentral